UUUCCGUAGGUGAACCUGCGGAAGGAUCAUUGUCGAAACCUGCCCAGCAGAACGACCCGCGAACUUGUAUAAACAACUGGGGGCGGGGGGCGUUCUCGCCCCGUGCCCCCGAACGGCGGGGAGACACUCGUGCCUUCUUGCCGAACAACGAACCCCGGCGCGGUCUGCGCCAAGGAACUUCAACUAAAGAGUGCCUCCGGUCGCCUCGGAAACGGCGUGCGUGCCGGAGGCGAAUCUUGUGCAAAACCAUAACGACUCUCGGCAACGGAUAUCUCGGCUCUC
This 282-nucleotide unclassified non-coding RNA is filed under the name plant metagenome. Its description in RNAcentral is "partial contains small subunit ribosomal RNA, internal transcribed spacer 1, and 5.8S ribosomal RNA". The record is from RNAcentral.